RNAcentral lists this long non-coding RNA (30686 nucleotides) under Populus trichocarpa (black cottonwood). RNAcentral describes it as "long non-coding RNA (PTRI_LNC004312)". The record is from RNAcentral. Lineage: Eukaryota; Viridiplantae; Streptophyta; Magnoliopsida; Malpighiales; Salicaceae.
AAAGGUUGCUCAAGUUUAGUUGAGGUGCAUCAAUCAAUUGGACAUUCGACGAGCCUCGUUUUCUUGAAUCUCGAGGGAUGUUGGAGUCUGAAGACUCUCCCUGAAAGCAUUGGUAAUGUAAAGUCUCUUGAAACUAUGAAUAUUUGUGGGUGUUCACAACUUGAGAAAUUGCCAGAAGGCAUGGGUGAUAUGAAAUUCUUAACUGAGCUGCUAGCCGAUGAGAUUAAAACUGAGCAAUUUCUCUCUUCAAUUGGGCAAUUAAAGUAUAUCAAAAGGUUAUCAUUGCGUGUUUCAAAUUUGAAAUGUUGGCUGCCAACAUCUUUCACUGAAUGGAGAUUAGUGAAAUAUCUUAAGCUUUACUGUGUUGAUUUUAGAGGUAUGUUCUCUCUAAAAGUAUUGGAUCUAAGAGGAAACAAAUUCUCUAGCCUGCCUUCUGGGAUCGGCUUCCUUCCCAAGCUAUCGUACUUGGUUGUUAAGACAUGUGAAUAUCUUGUAUCAAUCCUAGAUCUUCCCUCAAGUUUAUGCCUUUUGGAUGCAUCUUAUUGCAAAUCAUUGGAAAGAGUAAGAAUACCAAUCGAGGCAAAAAAAGAACUAUGUGUAAAUAUAUAUAUGAAAGUCUUUCGGUAGAAGAGAUUCAGGGCAUCGAAGGUUUAAAUAAUAGUUUCUGGUAUGUUAGUGUUACAUCACCAAAUAAAUUACAGAAGAGCAGUCAUUCACCAAAUAAAUCACAGAAGAGCGUUGUUGAGGUACUAUUUCUUUUAGUCUCUCUUGCACAAGAAGAAACACACACAAUUGGCACAUACAUUGAUUAAUGUCUAAAAUCGCAGCAUUCCUUGAAAUUAAUAUGUAUACAUACAAUUAUUAUUUUAAUUUAAAAAAUAAAUAUCAUCUUUAAUAAUAUUUUCUUAUUUUUCUUAUUUAAUCUAAAAAAUUAAAUAUUAUCUUUAAUAAUAUUUUUUAUAAAAUAUUUAAAGUCUUUGGUUUUCUUUUUUAUUUCUUGAUUUUAUGAUAAUAUAUUUAUACAGGCAAUGUGCAACCGUGGUCACGGGUAUCGUAUUAGCUUCAUUGUUGAUGAUCUACUUGAGAUGCCAGAUUGGAUGAGCUACAGGGCAGAAGGAUGCGCAUUGUCAUUCCAUAUACCUCCAGUCUUCCAUGGCUUAGUUCUUUUGUUUGAGAAGAGUACUCAUCUUUACACAGUCACUAACAUUAUUAUUAUUAUAAGAAAUAAAAGCAACGGAAGAAUAUUGUUUAAAGAUAAACGAGCACAGAUAGGAAUACAUAUAUUUAUGCAGGGAUGGUUAAGAUACAUAAGUAGAAGUGAAAUGGCAAUGGAAGAUUACUGUGGAGAUGACGAAUUGGAACUAUACAUAUAUUCACAGCAAUCAGAGUAUGCAACGGUCAUUCAUUCGAACCCGUACACGUUAAAGAAUGUGGGGUCCAUGUGAUCGCAGAGAAGUUAGAUUCAUUUGAAGAGUCGGCAGUGGGAAGAGAUACAGUGAUGCCUUCACCACCGCUGUAUCAUCUGCUUCCUCAUCCUCAUCGUGGUUCAAUUACAACGUCUACACCUAAGCAAUGGUGUGACUUUUUACUUGCGGAGCUGCAAAACCAUAACCUCAGUUUAUUGCUUCUUGGUAAGAACAAAUAUUUCCUUUAGUUAUUUUUAUUCUAUUCUAUUUAAUUUAUGAGAUUAAAUAUUAUCUUUAAUUAUUUCAUUAUUACUAUUUAAUAUAAAAAAUUAAAUAUCAUUUUUAAUAAUAAAAAAUUAAAUAUUUAAGGCUUUUUGGUAAGAAUACAUAUUUCCUUUAGUUAUUUCUAUUUUAUUCUAUUUAAUUUAAGAGAUUAAAUAUCAUCUUUAAUUAUUACAUUUUUCUUAUUUUUUAUUUUUUGAUUUUAUGAUAAUAUUUUUCUUGAUUAAUAUAAAAAAUAAAUAUUAUCUUUAAUAAUUAGAUCUAUCGAAUAUCACUCAAAAAAAUAAAUUAUAUCUUUAAUAAUUAUUUUUUGAAAAACAAAAAGCCAACAAUCACUAACAUAUUUUAUUAAAAUCACUUUAGUUUAUUUAGGAAAUAUUGAAAACUGAUUUUUGUUUUUUUACAUUUAAAUAAAAAAUUGAAUAAUGUUUUUAUAUUUUAUUUCAAAUUAAAUAUUUUAAAACAAAAAUAAAAACAAAAUGAUAUUAACCUUUUUUAUUAUAAAGUAAGUUUCUUAAUUAAAAGUGAAGGGGAUUUGUUUGUAAUAACAAAAUGCAUAUAUAAUCAUGCACGGUUAACUUUAUUUCCAAACUUGAAAGUUCUACUGAAUUUGAUGGUUUUAUAGGUAAGAAGGAGCUGGAUGGAUGAGUUAUUUUACAUAGAGAUGCUUGAAGUUACUUCAAAUUAGUACGGUAUUUCUAUCUGAUGUAUUGAUAUGUAUUUGUUGGCUUGAAGAUCAUUUUCCAAGUUUGGAAGUUUUAUUGAAUGCUCUUUGAAAUCUUUUCCAUUCGCUUUUAUAAUUGUGUAGGUUUCAAUUAAAAGGGAUUGAAUUAAGGAAGUAUGUUAAAAAAUAAUAUAAAUUAUAUUUUAAAAUUUAUUUUAAUAGUUUAAAUUUUUAGAUGGAUAGUUUUUUUGACAGGUAAAAGAUAUAGUUUUACAAUAAAAUAUAUUUUUUGAAAUGAAAUUAUAUUAAAUUAAGCAUGCUCGAGAUUGUUCAAAUUAUUAAUUAAUUAUAAUUAACUUUAUGUCUUUAGAGGAAACAGAAGGGAAGGACAAGAUUAUCUUCCCCACACCAAUAGACCUAGCCCACUUUCCAAACCAGUCCCCUGGUAAAUAGAAUGAUGGUCCCAUAUUUUUCUUUCCAGCCCGUCAAGCAGUUUUAUCUCCCUCACUGGACCACUUUAGAAUGGGAAUCACACUAGGAAAUUUAAAAGUAGUUUGAAGUAUCAUUAAACCUGAUAAAAAUAAACAACCAAUAAUAAUAUGGUUGGGAUUUAAAAAAAAAUUGAUAAAAAAACUAAAAUAAAACAAAUUAAAAUAAACAAAAAACUUGAAAAAAAUUAAUUCAACCCUUUCUUCGUAAAAAAGAGAAGUAAUUGGGUAUUAAUUUACGGUCAAAAGAGUACAAUAAUGCAAAGAAAAAAAAGAGUAUGAGGGUAUUGAUUUUAUUAUUUGUUAGGUAACUAUGGAAUCUAAUCUGUUGAUGUGGAAAAUAGCACAAAUUAAGUUUUUGGCAUGGCCAUUGGUGAGAAGCAAAAGCAGUAGCAGUCCAUCAGGACCAUCACCAUCCUAUCGCCGACAUUCCAAGUGUGAAAGUGUAUUAUUGUCAUAAAGUUUUUCAAACGAAACAAUACGAUAAAUUUAAACUAUAGAGAGAUAAUUAAAUAAAUAAGUAGAAAGCGCAAAAGAAACAAUACGAUAAAUUUAAACUAUACUAAAGGUCAGUUUUUCACUCUGUGUGAAUCUACCGUGAAAGCUUGAUUUUGCACAUGGUAGAUAAAUUUAGGUUUAGGAGUAUAAUUUUUUAUAUAUAAUUACACUAAAGAAGAAUAUUAAUCAAAUAACCCUUAAAAAAAUUCCUUUUAGUUUAGGGUUUAUUUUUUUUCAUCUCAAUUACUUAAAUAUCCCUAAAAAAUAAACUCUCUUUACUAUGGAUGCAAGGUUAUUUUAGAUUUUCUGCUAUUUUUUUUUUAAAAAAUUCUCAUGUAAGAUUAGAGGUGAUUUGGUAUUUUAAUAUAUAAAUUAAUAUUAAAAUUCAAAAGCAGUUGGUGUCUCCCACACCUUUUGGAUGGCGCCUACGACUUCCACACAAAACCGAAUGUUACCGUCUAAGGCAGCGUUUGAUGCGUUUCACCACCGUUGUCACGGUGGUGGCACACGUGUUCUCUGAUGGCAUGUAGAGGAGCACGCGGAGGAGCUCCUUUCUCUUUUUCCUCUCUCGACCUAGAAAAUCAUGUUGACCAUUGAAAAAAAAAAAAACAAAGAAAGUCUAACUAUUUAUUUGUUAAGUUAAAUUAGGUCCUUAUUCUUUUGAUAACAAUGCAUUUGGUCUUGAGCUAUUUAUUAAGUUAGUUGUUUUUUCAUUUUCAUUAAUUUACACUUUGUUUUUAUAUUAGAUUUAAUCCUUAUUCUUUUAACUGUGAUGUUUUUUGUUGUCUUAAUUCCUUUAUUGAAUUAAAUUGUCUUUGAAUUUUAUCUCUUGAUAUUUUAUUUUUAUAUCAAAUAUGAUCCUUAUUUUUUUAUUGUUAUUUUUAGUUAUUUUUAUUAUUUUCUUAAUUGAAAUUGUUUUUUAAUUUCAUCCCUUAUGAUUUGGUUUUAUUUACUUUAUGUAUCAAAUUUGGUUCUCUUUCUUUUCAAAUCUACAUCUUUAAAAAUAAAAUUUAAUUUUUUUCAAGUUUAUCCCUAAUUAUUUUGGUUGGUUUAGAUUUUAUAUUGUUAUUUUUUAUUUUUCUUUUACAUUGUGAUAUAGCCUUAUGAUUGUGUCACAAAUUCUAAAAGUUGGACAGGGAUGACUUCAAUUAUUUUUAGAAAUUUUCAUUCUUCAAUUCAAUUAUAUAUAUAUAUAAAAGGUUUGACGCUUAAUAUAUUUUUGUAUUGAUUUUAUCAUUUUAUAAUUUGAUUUAUAAUGCAGUCCUAUUAUAUAUGGACCAGGACAACAAUAUCAUUCAAAUGUUAGUAAUAGAAUAACUUUUACAUAUUUUAAUAUUUAAAAAUUAAAAAAAUACAGUGUAACUGUUUUGUAUAAAUUCUAAAAGUAAGGACUCAUUUGUGCUUGGUAAAAUACCUCACAAUAAAGUUAAUAAAUAAUAACACAAGAAAAGAACAAAAGUUAAUAAAUAAUAUAUAGCAUGUCUUACACUGCUUUAAUAGAUUAUUCCAGUAAGAGCACAGAGAGAAGAGCGGUUCAAGACAGAACAAUGAUGUAUAAAUUAAAAAAAUAUAAUCUCUUAUAGGAAUCUCUUUAUUAAAUAAUCAAAAUAUUAAAGUCUAUUUCCAAAGACUAUUACUACAGUUUUUAUAUAUAUAAAAAUAGAAACAACUAAAUAGAGAAAUUAUUAUUUUUUAAAUUGAAAAAGUUGAAAAGCUUGAUAAUAUUGAGUAAGAAAUAAAAUAUAAAAAUAAUUCCUUUUAAAUAAACAAAUAUAAAAGUUUAAUAGUACUGAAUAGAAAAAAAAAUAGAAUUUCUAAACUAAAUAAAAGUAACUGAAAAAAGUAUUUAUUAUUCCAAAAAAAUUGAUGUUAAAAUCUCAUUUAUCAUAUUUUAUAUCUAUAAAAAGCUAAUUUGUCAUAUGGAAUAAGUCUAUAUGCUAAAAUCAGAAAAAACAAAUGUAACAAAAAAAAAUUCCACCAAAGGCUGUGAUUAGCAGAUUAUCUGAUGGAAAGAUGAUGAACAUUUUUUAGUCAAUUAAGUUCAUUUCACAUGAUUUUUUUAUUCUUGUCAAUUAAUCUUAAAGCAAGAUUCCAAGAUAAGCCUAAAAAAUAUUUAUUAUUAAUCAACAAUAUGGAAUAAUAACUUGUUUUCUAAUAUAAAUUAUAAUUUGAAAUAAAAUUGAUAAAAGAGUAAGGCGCAUUUUGUAUACAAAAUUAAUGACGGAAUCGUAUAUUUUAAGACUAAAUUAAAGUUUUUCAAUUACAUUUAAACAUAUUAUGGUUUUAAUAAACGUACGAUGCAUCCUUUGAUUUUAUUACAGGGAACGUGAAAUAUUGUAAAUUAUGGAGGGGAAUCAAAAUAUUUGUUAGCAGUAACCUCAGUAAUGUUUAAAAAAAAUUGUUGUGGAAACUUUGCAAAGGAUCUGAAGGAAGAAAAAUGAUUGAAUUGAUAAUAAUUUGCAAGAGAGAAUUCUUUCACUGAAUAGAAAAAAAAAUAUUAUUUUUAAAAUAAAAACAAUAAAUAUAAAAAUUAUUAUUUUUUAAAUAGAGAAACUAGAAAGUCCUGAUAAUAUUAAAUAAAAAAUAAAUACAAAAAUUAUUCUUUUCAAGUAGAAAAAAUUAUAAAAGUUUAAUAAUACUGAAUAGAAAUAAAUAAAAUUUCUAAACUAAAUAAAAAUAUUUAUUAUCCCAAAAAUUCUUAUAUCAAAAUCUCAUUUAUCAUAUUUUGUAUCUAUAAAAAACUAAUUUGUCAUAUGUACUGGGUCCAUAUGCUAAAACCAGAAAAAAAAAUGUAACAAAAAAAAAAUUCCACACAAGGCUGUGAUUAAGAGAUUAACAAGAUGAUAGAUAUUUUUUAGUAAAAUGAAUUCCAAUUCAAAAUAGCAAAAUAAGGUUUUUUGAGGCUUUUCUAGUAUAUAAAAAAAUCAAAUUAUACAAGAUUUAUUAUUAAUCUUUGAUAUUUAUUAUUGAUCAUCAAUAAUCAAUAUUAAAUGAUGACUUAUUUUCUAGUAUAAACUAUGUUUGAAAUAAAAUUGAUAAAACACAUUAUAUAUAAUUAAUGAUGGGAUCGUAUAUAAAAAUAAUUAAAUUGAGAUUUUUCAAUUACCUUUAAAUAUAUCAUAGUUUUAAUCGGUGGUGGACGAUAUAACAUAUGUAAAUUAUAAAACAAGCAUUUAUUUUUCUGAUAUAUACAUAAUUGUCGCACCCGGACAUCGCGGCGACCUUAAAAAUAAUAUUUCAUGGAAAAGAACAGAUUUCUGGCAUCCUGUUCUUUAAUGGAGAAUGGUCUCGUUUAAGGAGUCGCCACCUAGUAUUAUGGUCACUAGGAACCCUAACUGGUCAACAGAGAUUCUAUGGUACGGGACUGGUUACGUAAAAGAGAAGAUAUUAUCACCCCUUAAACGUUCUGCCUGAGGCAGACUGCAUUGCUGGUUUUGUCUUAAAUUGCUAAAUGUUUAUUAGUUUACGCUAUGAUAAUUUGCUUAUAAUAUUCCUGACUCUGGCGUCAGUGAAUAUUCAACUACGAAUAUCUCCAACUCUGGCGUUGGUAAAUAUUACGUAGUUAUAAAAUAAAUUAGAUCAAUAUUUUUUUAUUACCUACUCUAGCAGUGAAUAAAUAAAUAAAAAUAAAUUUAUUUUUAAACAUGCACAUAUUUUUUUAUUUUUCUAGCUAAAUAAAAUAAAUAUAACGAAUAAAAAUAAUAUAAAUUUAAACCGGUAUUUUUAUUCCUGACUCUGGCAUCAGUGAAUAAACCAAUAAAUUUACAUUAUUUUUAUUUAUGCAUACACAUUUUUAUUUUUAUUUUUUUCUAAUAAUGAAUAAAAAUAAUAUAAAUUUAAACCGAUAUUUUUAUUCCUGACUCUGGAGUCAGUGAAUAAACCAAUAAAUUACAUUUUUUUUAUUUUUUUCCUAGGACUAUUUUUCCUACAUUUUUUUAUAUUUUUUUAUUUUUUUCCUAGGACUAAGCUUCACACGUGUAUGCAAAAGUAGUGAAUUAAAUUGGCCUAUGUACAGUACCCAUGCAAUUAGAAUUGCAAAGCAAAGGGAAAUGAAGAACUUACCUGUGCAGGAGGCGAAGUCGAAGACGGUGGCGAAGGUGUGCUGAAUUGCCAAAGCUACCUUCUCUCCUUCUCUGUUUUUAUUCUUCGUGCGCUUCUCCUCUGGUUUUGCUUUUCUUUACUUUGAUUGCUUCUCUUAUUCUUCCUGUCUCCCCCCCUGUGUUUGCUUGUUCUCAGUUCGCUUGUGUUUUCUUUUUUUAUCUGUUGUUCAGGGAAUGGAGGAGCUGGUGUAAGUGGAGACAAAGCAGCUGAUGCCUGAGAGGGCGUUGUACUGCUGCUGGAGCUGGAAGAGGCGCGCGUUGCUGGUUGCUGAUGCAUGCUCACGGUGCAUGGAAGUGGCUGAGUUGCUACUAAUCUUGACGAUACUGGUUUCGUCCGCUGUAAAAGUUUUCGUGCCCCUGCAUCCGAUCAAAGCUUGUGCUUUUCCAAGCAAAAGCCAUGGUCCCUUGAAACUCAGCAGAUUUUCGGAGCAAGGAGGAUCGCAUGCCAAUGUAGUUCAUGGUUCUGGUUUAGAGGCAGACGUGGCGGAGAUUAAUGGUGAUUGGGACCACAGCCUAGAAGGUGACCGGGAGGAAGAUGAUCUCGAGCCUUUAUUUGCUUCUUCUUUUUUUGUGAGGAGUUUGCAGAUCCCGGGGGUUGAGAAUGAAGAAUGAAAAAUCAGUUUGAUGGGGAAGAGAUUGAGGCCAGGCAAGAAGGGAGGAAAAGUCUGGGGGGAGGGGGCAGCGGCGGCUAGUCUAGGACUCGGCCGCGCCCCUUUUUUUUUUUGUAAAUGUCUUUUGUUUCUUUUUUUUUAUAUAGGUUUCUGGUAAUGAUCUUCUCCUGGGUUUUUUUUUUGUGUCGUUUAAGGUUCCUCUCUAAUCGUCUUCCUCUCCCCUCCGUUUUUCAUACCCUGAGAUCUGUAUUUAUAGUGCCAGAGUCCCUUCGCUUGUGAGAAACCAAGUUUCAAUCAAACUCAUUCUAUUUUUUGAAGUUUGAAUUUGAUUAAGAAUCAAAUUUGAAAGCGGAUAACUAUCAUUAUCUUAAAGACAAGGAUUAUCUCGAAGAUAAAGAUUAUCUUGAAGAUAGGGAUUAUCUUGAAGAUAAAGAUAGAAUGAUAAAAGCACAUUGUAGUCCUUAAUUUUCACGGAAGUUGACAAAUCACACUUUUCAUCGAAAUAAAUCUCUGAUCUUUUAAUUUUUCAUUUUAAACCCUGUAAAAAUUAAAUUAAAAGUCAAAGGGCCAAAAUUGGGUCAUGACAGUUGCCCCCUCUUUACAAUGCUUACGGUGCAAAUGCAUUAGAAAAUUUAUUUUCUUUUGACUUUGUAUAGUAAGUUUUGUAAAGAAAAAUAAUUGUGAAAGCCCUUCCUCUUUUCCUCCUUUUUUUUUUCUUCUCUUUUUUUUGAUUGAUUUUUUUGCUUUUUUUUUUUAAAUGGUCUAAUUGUUCCAGGCGACCUGCCUGAUAAAGAAUAAAAUGCGAAAAGGGUUUCGCGAGUGGUCUAAUUGUUCCAGGCGACCUGCCCGAUGAUUGAAAAAUACGAGGAUUUUUUUUUGUGAUGGUAUAUUGUAAUGGGUUACCGGCCCAGAUGGUCACAUUGUAAUGGGUUACCUGCCCAGUAUAGGAUGGUAUAUUGUAAUGGGUUACCGGCCCAAAUGGUCACAUUGUAAUUGGUUACCUGCCUAGUAUAGGAUGGUAUAUUGUAAUGGGUUACCAACUCAGAUGGUCACAUUGUAAUGGGUUACCUGCCCAGUAUAGGAUGGUAUAUUGUAAUGGGUUACCGACCCAAGUGGUCACAUUGUAAUGGGUUACCUGCCUAGUAUAGGAUGGUAUAUUGUAAUGGGUUACCGACCCAGAUGGUCACAUUGUAAUGGGUUACCUGCCCAGUUGGUCACAUUGUAAUGGGUUACCUGCCCAGUGGAUGGUAUAUUGUAAUGGGUUACCGACCCAGAUGGUCACAUUGUAAUGGGUUACCUGCCCAGUGGAUGGUAUAUUGUAAUGGGUUACCGACCCAGAUGGUCACAUUGUAAUGGGUUACCGGCCUAGUUGGUCACAUUGUAAUGGGUUACCUGCCCAGUGGAAAAAUACGAGGAUUUUUCAGAUGGUCACAUUGUAAUGGGUUACCUGCCCAGAUGGUCACAUUGUAAUGGGUUACCGGCCCAGUUGGUCACAUUGUAAUGGGUUACCUGCUUAGUGGAAAAAUACGAGGAUUUUUUUUUAAGACAUGAUAGGGCUCGAAGGCGCAUUAUUCAAUAGAUGGAAGCUCGAGGGAAAUGAGGGCUUGAAGGCGCCCUCAAAAGAAGGUAGGAUAGGAAAUGCACUACCUUUGAUGGUCGAGGGCUCGAAGGAGCGCUCGAAUGGAGGUAGGAUAGGAAAUGCACUACCUUUGAUGGUCGAGGGCUCGAAGGCGUGCUCGAAAAGAAAUAAGAUGAGGGCUCGAAGACGCGCUCGAAAGGAGGUAGGAUAGGAAAUGCACUACCUCAGGAGUGGAAACUGAAAGGUGGUGGGAAAAUAGAGAGAUUUUUUCAGGUGGCCUAAUUCUCAUGGGCGGCUUGCCCAGGUUGAAAAAUUCUCAAAAGUGAAAAUUUUUUCAAAAGCAAUUUCAAUGUUCGCCAUUUCAAGUUGGCCUUCCGCUUGAUGGAUUCCGUCAGAAUUUUUUUCUAAUAAAAUUUGCAAAACUCAUUGUCCAAUGUCUCAAAGUUUAAAUGAUAUGCAUGCAUCUUUACCUGAUUUGAAAUAUAGGCCCCCCAUUUCUUCUUAGUCUUCUCGUGGCUUGGUUGGUGAGAUCUUGCUAUCUGAUUUGAGUCAUCUUUGUCGUUUGGCUUUCUAGCCCACUCGAGUUAGCCCAUAUAAGACUUUUUCCAGAUUUGUUUGCACAACUCAGCCUUUGUGGUGCCCAUCGUGACCCACUUGCUUGCUAGAGAUUUUCUGUCUCGUCAAAUAGUUUGAGGGGAUCAUUCAUUACUCCUCGUCUCACUGAUAAAAAUAUUUGGUGUCACUUGCUGAAAGGAUCAAACUGUCUUUCGUAAACCAAAAUGCCCCCUUGUCUUGUUGUAGGAAAUGUUCCUUCUUUUUUUUUAGAACAGAUAGAUUUUUCUUAAGCACAAUAUUGCCCCCUUGUACUAGUCAUUGCCCCCAAGUGUGCCCUGUCAGCGACUUAGACAAAUAAUGGUUUUAAGAGACCAUUCUCUCAUUUCUCUCCUUUUCAGUUUGGUGAAGGAAUAUGGGUUUAGAAUGAAUCUUGAAAUCUUGAUCUUGCAUUUUGAAAACAAAAAAUUAUUUCGAUGUGAGUCUAAAACAAUUUGCUUUUGAAAUCUUGCAACUCCUUGGUUAUUUUCUUUCUUGGAAAAGAGAUUAUUUGCUCUUGUGUUUGGCAAUGAGAUCUUUGAUGAAAAUACGUCAUGAGAUGACCUUUUGUUUUUAUAGGUUUUUAAAGUGGAGGGCUCGAGAAAGAGCUCGAGGUUUUGUAUGAGAAAAACUUGUCUCUUUUUUUAACAUUUAUUUUUAUCAGCAUCAAUAAUAAUGAGUAGCUUAUUCUUGAUGUCAUGAAUCUUAUGAAAAAGUAUUCUUUGCAUUUUGAGAGCAUUGUUUAUUGUUCUAGGUUGCUUGCUUGCUUGAUUAGAAAGGACUUCUACAGGCACAUAACGUAGGCUGUGGUUUUUGGCUAUGAAAGAAAAGGAUUCAUAAGGCUCAAAGAGUGUUUCAGGGUUUCAAAGAAUGAAGAUCACAAUCAACAGUUUGACUCUUGACGUCAUUCAUAUUUUCUUUUGCCGCUCUUCUUUGAUUUGCCUUUUUUUCUUUUUUCUUUUUCAUUGCUUUGCUAGAGCAUACUCACUUUAUCUUGGUUAUCACUUUUUCUUGUGAUUUGGGCAUGCCCCCUAGCAUUUGAGUUUCUUGGGCUCUUUUGCCUUUUGACUUUCUCACGGCUUUAUUAUCUUUCUUGAUCAUUGAAAUUUCACUUGCCCCCAGUGUGGGGUGUGAUCCUAGUCGGGAUUUUUUCAUGAAAGAAAAAUUAUUCAGGCUCAAAAAGGGAUCGCAAGGGAUGUACUUAUUUCAGAAUAUGAAAGGAAUAACAAAGAUGGCAUUUCCUCAUUUCAAGCGCAAGCAGUUAAGAUCAAUAAACUUUGACCUCAUCUAGUGUGAUAGUUUGGUCUUUGCAAAGAUGCAUUUCAAGGGUCAUGAGCAACAAGUUCACUACAUACCAUUAUUCAUACAUUUAAAAACACAUGAUUCAAGAGUCGUGGGGUAAGGGUGUUUAUUUAUUUCUUUUCUCUUUUUUCUUUUUUUCUUUUUGGUUUAUAAUUUAGUCACCUCAUUGAUGGAGUUACUUGAUUAACACGUAGAAUGUUAAAAAUAUGGUUUUUGAAUAAACAUCAAGUUAUUUUCGGAAUCAAAAUGCAAGAUCAAUUUUUUCAAAACUCUAAUAGGGAAACUGAUUUUUGGUAACAGAGACAAAUUGCGUCUAUGAGAUCGCACAAGGCUUCAAAGAUGUGUUUGUGAGUCUUUAUAAGAAAACUCUCUCAGAAAAAUGAAUAAUGCUAAUCGUACACACGAUUGAAUGACAAACUCAUUAUUUUCAUUGAAACUUUGGAAAAUAAGUUCAACAAGAAAGAACUCAUGACAACAUCUUGGGCUAUGAAUACUGGCAUGAUAGCAUAUAAAGGGGCUAAACAUUUAACAAUCAUUGAUUGGAAUUUCUGGAAUCAUUCAUUCUCCUUGACAAGGGCAUCUCUUCAAUAGUCAAUAAUAUCACCAUAGCUUUAUCUUCAAGAUAGUUGAUUUCUAAAAAUUGGUGUGAAGCAAUUAGCUAUAGGAACGAUAACUGUCUUGGCAGCCACCUUCAGUGAAACCGUUCUUCUUAGUUAGGUUAGCAAUCUUACAUAACCCAAUGGCUUGUUCAAUCCUCUCAGCUAUAACAACCAGGUCAGUGAAAUGUUGCGCAGAGCUUCUAACCAAGUAUUCAAAGUAUGAAGCUUUAAAGUUGUUGGAAAAUAAACUGAUCAUCUCUUUUUCCAACAUAGAAGGGUUAACCUGUGCAGCUACCUCCCUCCAUCUUCGAGCGUAUUUCCUUAUGGACUCCUUAUUGUCCUUCUCCAUAGCUUGCAAGUUUAAACGAUCAGAGUCCACGUCUAUAUUGAACUUAUAUUGUCUCAUGAAGGCAUCAACUAAAUCCUUCCAUUUUUUAACCUUGGUAUUUUCCAACCGCAUAUACCAAGUGAGGGCAACGUCACUCAAAUUGUCUUGAAAGAAGUGAAUUAACAGUUUCUCGUCAUAGACUACCUCAACCAUUUUGUUGCAGUAUGUCUUGAGAUGAGUUACAGGGCAUUGAGUUCCUGUAUAUUUGAUGAAUUCUGGCACUCUAAACUUCUUAGGAAUGACUACGUUAGGUACCAAACACAUCUCAACAGCUUUUAUAUGGUCAUGUAGGCUAGUUCCCUCGAAUGCCCUCAGUCUUUGUUCCAAGGCAGCCCUUUUAUCCAGGCCAUCUUCUUUUACCACCUUGUUCUUUUGAGAUUCCUUUAUUGUAAGGUCAAUGGUAGAUGACAUUCCUAUGGGAUAUGCUGGUUGAGCAAAUUGGGAAUACAUAGACUGUUGAGACACCUCAUUUGCCCCCAGAUUCUGUGGAUUUACGAGCAUAGGUUCAGGCUGAGCUGUAGAUUUUGCUUCUUCAUGUUUAGAUCUCAAGGCUUGUUCGAGUAAGCUAGUAAGCCUGGCAACUUUCCAUCUCUUUUCGGUGUGGGGCUUCCAACUGGGCUCUUUCUUGUAAAAAAUUCCACACAAGGCUGUGAUUAAGAGAUUAACAAGAUGAUAGAUAUUUUUUUAGUAAAAUGAAUUCCAAUUCAAAAUAGCAAAAUAAGGUUUGUUGAGGCUUUUCUAGUAUAUAAAAAAAUCAAAUUAUACAAGAUUUAUUAUUAAUCUUCGAUAUUUAUUAUUGAUCAUCAAUAAUCAAUAUUAAAUGAUGACUUAUUUUCUAGUAUAAACUAUGUUUGAAAUAAAAUUGAUAAAACACAUUAUAUAUAAUUAAUGAUGGGAUCGUAUAUAAAAAUAAUUAAAUUGAGAUUUUUCAAUUACCUUUAAAUAUAUCAUAGUUUUAAUCGGUGGUGGACGAUAUAACAUAUGUAAAUUAUAAAACAAGCAUUUAUUUUUCUGAUAUAUACAUAAUAAUAACAAAUUAAAUGAUAGUAACAAGAAAAUAGCAAUUAGUUUGAAUAAAUGGUACCAGUUCCUAUCAUUAUAUAUUUAGGAAAAGGUUCAAAGAAUAGAAUAAAGUCAAAUAUAUAUUUUUAAUAAAAAAGAAAAAAAAACACAGAAAGAAAUAAAAAUAUGUUUGUAAUAAAUAUAAAAGAUGGAUAAAAAUAUUAGAGAAUAAGAAAGAGAUAUAGAAUCUCUUUGUGAAAUUUCUAAAAACUUAAUUACAAUUAUAUUAUAAUUUCUUCCCUAAAAUUAUUCAAAAUAUAGUAUUAGAAUUAUAUAAUGCUAGGUUUUAAUAGUUAAUUAAAGAAUCUUUCCUGAAUCAAAUAAUAAAAAUAUUGUAUAACGAUCUUUUGGAUGAAUUGUUAAUGUAGCUCUUUGACUGUUUGGGGUCCUGACAUAGCUGAUUUUAUUUGAAUAUAUUAUUUGAUAUCUCAUUGCUGCAUUGACUGGAAAUUUCAGUAUUCCAUAUCCUAUAUAUUUAACUCGUUAUAUUUAGUAGCUAACUCUGCAGCUAACUUCUCUGUCCCAUUGCAGCAAUUUCAUAGCUAACUCUUUGUUAUAUUUAACUUACUCUUCUUUGCUUCUUUGCUUCUUGCUCAUAACGAUAACUUGAAAGCCUUACGUUCAGAUAGAUAAUCAUUGACCAGUUCAUUGACCAGUUCUUUGUUAAUUUAGAAAUGCUGAAACAAAAACGCAAGCAAUCCAAAGAUGAAGACAACGAUUCAUCCUCGCGAAAGAGAAGAAAAGCUGACCUCAGUAAGCCUGUCAGUUUUGUCUCCACAGGUAAGGCAUAUGCGUGAGUCUAUACAUGUAGGAACUGCUGAUUCGAUUUGAAUAUGUUAUUUGAUUAGUCUGAUCAUAGGAUAGGUUGAGUCUACUACUAUUUCUGCCUUGCUUUGACUCGAAAUUCCUGGUGUUUUCACCUGCAAAUGAAUAGAAAUCACAUCCUUUCUCUUUCUCCUAUACAAAGAAUACAGUUAACCUCAUUUCAAUAUCAUAGAUUUGGAAUUUCAUAGCUAACUCUUUGUUAUAUUGCUCCAUUGGUAAUUGAUUGUGCCUUAAUUUCUGCAGCUACCAUGACAGAGCCAGGGUCUUCUCGAUCUAGUCCAGAAGGGGCCUAUGAUGUCUUCUUGAGUUUUAGAGGAGAAGACACUCGCAAGACAUUUACAGAUCAUCUAUAUGCUGCCUUAGAUCAAGCAGGAAUCCGCGCUUUUCGAGAUGAUGAUGAACUUCCGAGAGGAGAAGAAAUCUCCGAUCAUCUCCUCAGGGCAAUUCAAGAAUCAAAGAUAUCCAUAGUUGUCUUCUCAAAAGGAUAUGCUUCUUCUAGAUGGUGUCUCAAUGAACUUGUAGAGAUUCUUGAGUGCAAAAAGAGGAAAACCGGUCAGAUUGUUCUUCCUAUAUUCUAUGACAUUGAUCCUUCAGAUGUGAGAAAACAGAACGGCAGUUUUGCAGAAGCAUUUGUUAAACAUGAAGAGCGUUUUGAAGAGAAGUUGGUGAAGGAGUGGAGAAAAGCUCUUGAGGAGGCUGGAAAUCUAUCUGGAUGGAAUCUCAAUGAUAUGGCAAAUGGGUAUGCCUUUUUUCCAAAUUUAUGGAGUCAAUAUACUUUAUAUUUUUCAAUGUGAAACAAUAAAAUACUUAAUUGACUGGCUAUCAAUGACUGGCUUUUGUCUAUGAGCAGGCAUGAAGCAAAAUUUAUCAAAGAGAUUAUCAAGGAUGUGUUGAAUAAAUUAGAUCCCAAGUACUUAGAUGUUCCUGAGCUCCUAGUAGGUAUGGAUCGGCUUUCUCGCAAUAUUUUUGACUUUCUAAGUACUGCAACACAUGAUGUACGCAUUGUGGGCAUACAUGGGAUGCCAGGAAUAGGAAAGACAACUAUAGCAAAAGUUGUAUUUAAUCAACUCCGCUAUAGAUUCGAGGGAAGCUGCUUUUUUUCGAAUAUCAAUGAAACAUCAAAACAAUUCAAUGGUCUGGCUCUUUUACAAGAGCAACUUCUUCAUGAUAUUUUAAAACAAGAUGUUGCUAACAUCAAUUGUGUCGAUAGAGGAAAGGUUCUGAUCAAAGAACGACUUCGUCGCAAAAGAGUUCUUGUUGUUGCUGAUGAUGUGACUCGUCAGGACCAGCUAAAUGCUUUGAUGGGAGAGCGAGGUUGGUUUGGUCCCGGAAGUAGAGUAAUUAUUACAACAAGAGAUUCAAGUUUUCUACAUAAAGCGGAUCAAACAUAUCAAAUCGAAGAAUUGAAACCAGAUGAGUCCUUUCAACUUUUCAGCUGGCAUGCCUUGCGGGACACCAAGCCAGCAGAAGAUUAUAUUGAGCUUUCGAAGGAUGUAGUUGAUUACUGUGGAGGAAUUCCUUUGGCUCUUGAGGUUAUGGGUGCUUGUCUGUCCGGGAAAAACAGAGAUGGUUGGAAAUCUGUAAUUGACAAAUUGAGAAGAAUUCCAAACCGCGAUAUCCAAGGAAAGCUUAGAAUAAGUUUUGACGCACUGGACGGUGAAGAACUACAAAAUGCAUUCCUUGACAUCGCUUGCUUCUUUAUUGAUAGAAAGAAAGAGUACGUCGCAAAAGUGCUAGGAGCCCGUUGCGGUUACAAUCCAGAAGUUGAUUUGCAAACUCUCCAUGAGAGGUCUCUGAUUAAAGUAUUGGGAGAGACGGUAACCAUGCAUGAUCUAUUACGAGACAUGGGAAGGGAGGUCGUUCGUGAAAAGUCUCCAAAACAACCUGGAGAGAGGACCAGAAUUUGGAAUCAAGAGGAUGCAUGGAAUGUACUUGAGCAGCAGAAGGUAAGAGCUCAAUGCAUACAUGAAAGCAUAGUCAUGCGUAUUUUCUAGUCAAACUUAUUACAAGUAAUUGUAUGAAAGUUGUAUUGAUUUAUUUUUUAGGGUACGGAUGUCGUAGAGGGUCUUGCACUGGAUGUCAGAGCAUCAGAAGCUAAAUCACUUAGCGCAGGAUCAUUUGCAGAAAUGAAAUGCUUAAAUUUACUCCAAAUCAAUGGAGUUCAUCUCACCGGAUCCUUCAAACUGCUUUCUAAAGAGUUGAUGUGGAUUUGUUGGCUUCAAUGUCCUUUGAAAUAUUUUCCAUCUGAUUUUACCUUGGAUAAUUUAGCUGUUCUUGAUAUGCAGUACAGUAACCUCAAAGAACUAUGGAAGGGAAAAAAGGUGAGAAACAUGCUGCAAUCCCCAAAAUUUCUCUAUUAUGUAAUUUAUAUUUACAUGUUACAACUUCUUAAGAUUAAUUUUCAUUAUUUUGCGCUCUAUUAUACAGAUUCUCAACAGGCUAAAAAUCCUUAAUCUCAGUCAUUCUCAGCACCUUAUUAAAACACCAAACUUACACAGUUCAAGUCUAGAGAAAUUAAUUCUGAAAGGUUGCUCGAGUUUAGUUGAGGUGCAUCAAUCAAUUGAAAAUUUGACGAGCCUUGUUUUCUUGAAUCUCAAGGGAUGUUGGAGGCUGAAGAAUCUCCCUGAAAGAAUUGGCAAUGUAAAGUCUCUUAAAACUCUGAAUAUUUCUGGGUGUUCACAACUUGAGAAAUUGCCAGAACGCAUGGGUGAUAUGGAAUCCUUAACUAAGCUGCUAGCUGAUGGGAUUGAAAAUGAGCAAUUUCUCUCUUCAAUUGGACAAUUAAAGCAUUGCAGAAGGUUAUCAUUGCAUGGAGACAGUUCGACGCCACCAAGUUCUUCUUUGAUUUCAACAGGUGUUUUGAAUUGGAAACGUUGGCUGCCAGCAUCUUUCAUUGAAUGGAUAUCAGUGAAACAUCUUGAGCUUUCUAAUAGUGGUUUGUCUGAUCGCGCAACUAACUGUGUUGAUUUCAGUGGUUUGUCUGCUCUAGAAAAAUUGGAUCUAACAGGAAACAAAUUCUCUAGGCUGCCUUCUGGGAUCGGCUUCCUUCCCAAGCUAACGUAUUUGUCUGUUGAGGGAUGCAAAUAUCUUGUAUCAAUCCCAGAUCUUCCCUCAAGUUUAGGGCAUUUGUUUGCAUGUGAUUGCAAAUCAUUGAAAAGAGUAAGAAUACCAAGCGAGCCAAAAAAAGGACUAUUUAUAAAGCUAGAUGACAGUCAUUCGUUAGAAGAGUUUCAGGGCAUUGAAGAUCUAAGUAAUUGUUUCUGGUAUAUUCGUGUUGAUGACCGCAGUCAUUCACCAAGUAAAUUACUAAAGAGCGUUGUUGAGGUACUAUUUCUUUCCGUCUCUCUUUCGCACAAAAAGAAACACACACAAUUGGCACAUACAUUGAUUAAUGUCUAAAAUCUCAGCAUUCCUUGAAAUCAAUAUGUAUAUAGGCAAUAAUUAUUAUUAUUAUUAUUAUAUUUUAAAAAACAAAUAUCAUGUUUUAUAAUAUUUUUUAUUUUUCUUAUUUAAUCUAAAAAAUUAAAUAUUAUCUUUAAUAAUAUUUUUUAUUAAAUAUUUAAAGUCUGAUUGGUUUUAUUUUUUAUUUCUUGAUUUUAUGAUAAUAUAUUUAUACAGUUAAUGUGCAACGGUCGUCACGGGUAUUUUAUUCGCCACACUCCUAGUGAGAUGCCAAACUGGAUGAGCUACAGGGGAGAAGGAUGCUCAUUGUCAUUCCAUAUACCUCCAGUCUUUCAAGGCUUAGUUGUUUGGUUUGAUAAGGAUGAUCAUUAUUACUUCCACACUGACAUUAUUAUUAUUAUAAGAAAUAAAAGCAACGGUAUUCAAUUGUUUGAAGAAGAACGAACAGUACCAGAAAAUGAAAACAAUACCUCCAAAUUAGUAGAACGAACAGUAUCAGAACGAACAGUACCUCCAAAUUAGUAGGGUACAUCUCUUUUUGCCGAGUUGAUAUGAAUUCGUUAGCUUGAUGAAAACAACCGAAAGUUCUGAAAGCAUCCUUAAUUAGUAUAAUUAGUAAAGUCUUGUUAGUUUUGGCUAUAAGUUUUUGUUAUGUAUUAUUGCAUGGUUUUUAUUAUUUGUUGGCCCUUGUUUUUUUUAUAUACAACUUUUAUUUUUAUUGUCGGUUUGUCAUUAGCUUUAUGGCACUAACACUUAUUAAUAAUAAAUCUUGGACUAUUAUUAAAUAAAGGAAAAAUAAAAACAUUGUUAAAAUACCAAACUUGCAUAUUUCAAACUUAGAGAAAGCCGAUGAUAAUAAUCCAAUUUAGAAAAUAAUUAAUUUGUCCUUGUAGUAUUAGAAAAUAGUAUUUAAUCCUUAUGUUUUCAUAUUCAUCUAUGAUUUAAUCUCUUACAUCCAUUUCAUUUUCUUAUUAUUUUAAUCCAAAAAAAACUAAAAAUCACAUAUCAUGAAUACCAAUUAGAACGGAAGUGAAGACCAAUUAGAAGACUAUAAUCCAUAAUUCUCUCUGCUUCUAAGAAUUCACAGUCCCUAUAAAUUUGACUGAGAAAGAAAGAACUGAAGACAAACACAUGUUAACCUCUCAAGAUUAGUGCCUCACAAAAGAACAAGAUAAAGGAAACACCGCAAUUUUUCAUGAUAAAAUCCAAAGGAUUGGUACUUUGGUGUUUGUGGCGCUGGUAUAUGAAAGAACAGAGAUCAAGAGAUGAAAUCCCUCUAUACCGCUGUUAUUCCUUUCAAGGUGCGUAUCAGGUGUUUGAAAAACUUCCUCAACUUAAAGUAGAAAGGUCUUGUUUACAACGUUUUUUAGUCCUUUUCAAGUCUUCCAAUGUGUUGCAUUUACUGAAUAUGAUAGUGGGAAUUUAGUUAUCACCUACUAUCUUCUAAGACGCAUCUCUGUCUCCUCUUCUUCUUUAUAAAAUUAUUCCCUUCUAGUUCUCUAAUGUACUUGAUGUCCCGGAAGUGUGGCUUCUUCAUAUGAAGAAUACGUUAAGAUUCAAUUAUGAUUUUAGAUUCCAUUGCCUACAAAUUUGAACCAUGAUAAUGUAGCAUACGGACCAGUCAUGCCUAUCUACAUUAAUUAGAAUAGGCCUCCACCCUCUUAGGUUUUUAUUGAGAUUAGGGAUUCUAUUGUAGCUCUUUUUUCUCCUUUUAUUAUAACAAAAUAAUAUGUAUGGAUUAAUUUUCGUAUACAGAAACUAAGUCCUUUAAUCAAAUUUUAGAUUGACCAUCCUCUAUUUUUUAACUGUUUGAUACUUGUUUAAAAAAAAUACUAGUAAUGAGGGCAUGAAAUUAAGAAGGUGUGUGGGAAUGUGGUUGUGGUUGUUUUUGAAAAUAUAUUUUACUUAAAAAUAUAUCAAAAUAUUAUUUUUUUUAUUUUUAAAAAUUAUUUUUAAUAUUAACAUAUUAAAAAUAAAACGGUUAAAGAUAAAGUCCCAAAACAUAUUCUGCCCUUCUCCCCAAUGAACGUGGGCAGGCUUGACAUUUACUCGUUUACAAAACUGAGCCCAGUGGCAAAGAGGCCUGCUUAUUAUGCCUUUAGCUGAGACUGCUGUAGAAAUAAGUAGGCCUGAUCAAUUGGACUAAAUUUUUGUUUUGCUGUAGAAACACGUUUUUCCUUUGUGAGAAAAAGCAAGUUCAAAAAAACAGAAGAAGCAGAAUUUGAAAAAAAGAAGAGAAAAAAGAAAGAUGCUUUAGUUUUUAAUCCAUAAUGUCCAAAGUGACUGGGUAGAUAAGAUCCAGCCCAUUUGGGUCCAUCAAAGUCAUUUGUGGUAGCUUAUGACUAAUGUGCCCAAAGGAUGGCGGUUCAGUAACGGUCCAAGUAAAGAAACUAAUCUGGAAAAGGAAAUCAUGCCCAUCAGAAUUCAGAAGAUCAUUCUGCGUCCAUUUCACAUUAGCAAAAUGAAUCAAAACACCCAUUAGAAUUUUGAAGUCAUGUAUCUUCGAUGAAUUGCAAGCCAUAUCCAAAAGUUUCAUCAUCCAUAUGCCAAGCAGCAUGCAUGCAUGCAAAAUAUGGUGAGACAGAGUCAUCAGAUAAAAAAGAAAAAUAGUAGUGGAAUAAUUCUUUUAAUAUUUAAAAAUUAAAAAAUACUGUGUAACUGUUUUGUAUAAAUUGUAAAGUCAAGGACUCUUUUGUGCUUGGUAAAAUACCUCACACUAAAAUUAAUAAAUAAUAACACGAGAAGGACCAAAGUUAAUAAAUAAUAGCAUGCACGAAACUUUACAAUACAGUAAAAAAAUUGUUACAGUAAAAGCACAGAGAGAAGAACGGUUCCAUAAAAAGAUGUGGUAAGUCUAAUGUUGGGAGACUGCUCUUCCAAGGAUCCUACGGUUGCGAGCCAUGUGAAUGCAAAAGGAGCCAGUUGUUGCAACUCCAAAUUCCUUGCUUUUUUUCCUCUACGUACGUGUUACCUUUAACCUUUUAUAAUUAUGAUUGUUGCGUUGCUAAUUAUAAUUUGCAAGAAAGAUGAUGAACAUCUUUUAGUGAAUUAAGUUCAAUUCAAAAUAACAAAAUAAGGUUUGUUGAGGCUUAUCUUCGAACCUCAUUUUAGGAUUAAUAGACGAAAAUCAAAAAGUCCUGUGCAAAUUAUACAAAAUUUAUUAUUAAUAAUCAAUAUUUAUGAUUGAUCAUCAACAUUAAAUAAUGGCUUAUUUUCUAGUAUAAACUAUGUUUGAAAUAAAAUUGAUAACAGACACACAAUUAAUGAUGGUAUUGUAUAUUUUGAGACGAAAUUAAGGUUUUUCAAUUAAUGCUAAAACAUAUCAUGGUUUUAAUAGUUGGAUGGUACAUUAUGUAAAAUAUAAAAAAAUAUUUAUUUUUUUGAUAUACAUAGUAAUAAUAAAUUAGAUGAUAAUAACAAAAAAAUAGAAAUUAGUUUGAAUAAAUAGUACCGGUUCAUAUUAUGAUAUAUCUAGAGAAGAAGUUGGAAGAAUAGAAUGAAAUCAAAUAUUAAUAUAAAAAAAAAUAUUGAAGUAAUGAGUACAUGAAGCAAGAUAAUUAGUGGUUGAAUAUAGAUUAUAACUAAUUAUUUGUUCUGAUGAAGAUUACCAAUUAAAUACAAACAAAAAAAAUGUUUCUAAAAUAAAAGGAUAUGAAUUAACUAUAGAAACUAAAGAGUGGAUCGGUUAUCUUUAACGUUUGCAAAUAAUUAAAAGAGAUAUAAAUUUUGUGAUGGGUUAUGAUUAACGCAGAAGCAAAUAAAAGAGGAACAGAAAUUAUAAGCAAAUAUUGUUUCCUGGGCGGAAGUGUUUGGCACUGUCGAUAAAAGUUUUUUGAAAAAAAUUAAUUUUAUUUUUAUUUUUUUAUUUUAAAUUAAUAUAUAUUUUAUGUUUUCAGAAUAUUUUGAUGUAUUAAUAUCAAAAAUAAUUAUUCAAAAAUAAAAAAAAAUCUAACCAUUAGAGCUUCUCUCUCAAUCGUCUUUCUUUUUUUUAAUAACUAGAUUAUUAAAAUUACAAGAAUUAAGUUAAUAUUUCAAAAAAUUUCAAAAAAAUAUUUUGUUUUCUUUUAGUAUCUGGGAUUAUGAAUUUAUACGUAAAAUGUAUUCUUGAUAUUAAAAAAAAAGAUAAGGAUCUUCUUACUGAGGAAGACUUAUCUUGAACCUUAGACAUACUAAUUAGAAAACAUGACAAUACCUUAAUUUUUCUCAGACAAUUAAACAAUGCAAUUGUGUAUUUGGGGUGCUAAUAUAUUUUUUUUUACACAAUCAGUUUUCAUGCUCGAUCUCUAAGAUUAAUUAGGGUUUCUAGUAACUAAAAUACUAAGUAAAUAUUUUCUAGUAAAUUAAUUUCAAUUCAAAAUAACAAAAUAAGGUUUGUUGAGGCUUAUCGUGAAACCUUGUUUUGGAUGAAUUGAUCACGAGAAUGAGAAAUCAUGUGUAAAUUAUACAAAAUAUAUUAUUAAUCAUCAAUAUUUAUUAUUGAUUAUCAAUAUUGAAUAAUGGUUUUUUAUAAUAUAAAUUAUGUUUAAAAUAAAAUUGAUAAAAUUAAAAUUCAUGAAACACAAUUAAUGAUGGGAUCUACAUCUUUUGAAUUUAUUAGAAUGAACGUGUAAUUAAAGGACGAACCACAUACCAUUACAUGCGUUUUCAAUUGGAUUUUUUAUUUAAAUGAAAAAAAAUCUGUUUUAUAUGAAAAAAAUAUUUAUUUUUUUGAUAUACCUAAUAAUAAUAAAUUAGAGAAUAGUAACAAGAAAAUAGGAAUUAGAUAGACUAAACGGUACCAAUACUAUAUUCUUAAUAAAAAAAAUAUUUUUAAUAAAUAUAAAAGAUGGAUGAAAAUUGUUGCUACUCGAUUUUUUACCUAUAUUUUAAAUAAUUUUUCAGAAAAAAAUCAAAAUAGUAAAAACACAACGAAAAUCUCAAAAAAUGUAUUUUUGAUAUAUUUGUAUUGUUUUUAGCAUUUUUAAUAUUAUCUCAAAAAAAUUUUAAUUUUCAAAAGUAUUUUAAACGCGUUUAAUUUUUAAUGCGUAAAAUUUACAAUUACUGAUUUGCCUUAUUAAGUUGAUAUUGAUAUGAUUUGUUUUUAAAAAAAUUCAAAAUAUAACAAAUAAAAAAAUAUCAAAAUUUAUAUAUAUAAAAAAAAAUGAGGAACCAGUUUGGAAAUCUAAUAAGAUUUUGGCUAUAAAUACAGUGAAAAAUGUCAACAUCCGGGGGGAAUUGAGAGGAAUAGUGGCGUAGAAAAUUUUGGGGGGAAACAAAAGUAAAGAACCCUAGACCUCUUCCUUUUGGCAGUGUGGUAGUGGUUGCUUUUCAAAUAAUUUUUCGUGCCGAAAUACAUGCCAAUGAUAUUUUUUUAUUUUUUAAAAAUCAUUUUUGACAUCAGCACAUCAAAACGAUCCAAAAAAUACAAACCACACUCAAUUUUAACAAAAAAAAAAACAAAUUUGAAAUUUGGUGAAAAGCAGGUUGAACAGCAGAGCCAAACAUGCUAGACAGGAGCCGCCGCCUCCCUCUCAAAAAAUCCAGAGAAACCCUCCCUCUCUAAAAAAAAACAGGAGAAACCCUACUUUGGGGUUUUGAACUUUCGGCUUCUUCUCCCUGCAGCCGGACAAGGCUGCCCCCUCGCUUUGCCAAAAACGAGGAGAACCCCACAAAACACACAGACCCCCCCCCCCCAAAAAAAAAAAAAAAACCAUCCCCAGAGAAACCAACCCCCAGCCGGCGACCCCCAGCCUUAACAACAAAGAAAGACACGGCUGGUCCCCCCUCUCCACUGAUCUUCUCCCUCACCAACCUUCCCCUCUCUCGGCCGCUCACUUCCCCUCCGUCAAAAACAGAGACCGGCCGCCCCCCCCCUCUCCUUUGAGGCCAGGAACCAGAGAAACCAGAGAGCUCCGGACAGGCCUCCCUCUCCCUCGACCACAACCUCCAUCCUCCCUCUCUGUAAUCCAGCCCCCACAAACCCACAAGACAGCCCCGGCUCCCUUCCUCAUCGCCGUUUUCUCCAACUCUGACCGACCCCUCUCUCAGCCACCGAGAACGCCGCCUAGCAGCCCGCAGGCCCUCGUCCUCACCAAGACCCGAACCGGCCACCGGCAGCUGUACAGACACGACAGAAGCUCCGCCGCCGGCCGCCCCUUGCACAUACCGUCGGCCACCUGAAACAGAAGGUGAAAAAAAAAGAAAAAAACAGAUCUGCAGAAGAAACAGAUCUGAAACAAGGGAAGACCGAAACAGAUCUAAAGAAGAAGAAUAAAAAUCAACUGCUUUGUUGCGUUUUUGGUUGUUCUUGCAGGUCACUGCCGAGGAAAGGAAGAGGAGGAGAAGUUAAGCCAGAUCCACAUGUUCACAGUUUCUGCUUGCGGUGACGCGUGAACCCACACGCCGCCAGUGGCAUGGUGCGUGGAGAAGACGCUCCGCCACUGUUCCCAUCCCCAGAACCCUUUCAGCACUGUUCCCGAGGUUUUUUUUUAUUUAAUUUUCAGAUGUUGAUAUGUGUUUUUAGAUUAUUUUUAUUUGAUUUAUUUUGAAUUCUUGGUAUUUUGUAAUAUGGAAAUGUGGGUGCACGAGAAAAACAUAAUAAAAAGGAAUUUAUGUGUUUGUAUUUUUUUUAUGUAAGUUAUUGAAUUAUAAAAUCAGAAAGAUAAAAAAAAAUAAAUUUAAUGUUUUAAUUUGUAUAUGGUCAAGUAUAUGAUGAUAAUUAAAAUUAUGUUGUAUUUUUCAUAUUUUUCAUAAAAAUAUAAGAACAUGUUUCUAUAUAUUUUCUGGUGGAAGCUUUAAAAUUUGAUUAAUAUUUUAUUUUUUAAAAUUGUAUCUUCAAAUUAAAUUAUGAAGCAACUUAUCUCAGGUAAGAUGUGUUAGAGGUGUUAAUAUUUUUUCAAUUAUAAUCAAUUUUUUAUCCUUGAAUCUUUGACAAGACUAACAUAUCCAGGUUUUUUAGUAGGUGAUGACUUUCAAGAACAAGCAAACGAAGAAAAUCACUAAUUGACGCCGUGCAGGGAACGUGCGACAAAAAUAUUAGAGAAUAAAAUUGAGAUAUAGAAUCUCUUUUUUAUAUUUCUAAAAACUUAAUUUCUGUUGUAACCUAUUUUUGAGUCCCACACUAAAAUGGAGAAUAAACAAAUUUGGAAGAAAUCUAAAAAAAUAAUAGCAAUGAGAAGAGGAUGCCGAAACACCUAGAAAAUAGCUAGAAAUUGGUUGAGGAGGUUCAAAAAUACAAAAAUUAAAAUUUGACAGUAUAUAUUUGACUGAUGAGAGCUCUAUUGAAAAAGAAAAUUUAAUUUGAGAAAAAAAAGUUUAAAAUCAGAUGUUUAUGGAUUUAAUUAAUUUUAUUGAAGGAUUUAUAAAGAGUUUGAUUGCAAGAAAAAUUGAUUUUUAAGUCAAUUUAGACUUUAAUUGAAAGAAAUUAAAGUUCUGAGGUCAAAUUACAAUUUUUAAGAGUUAAUUUGGUCAAAUUAGGAGUUUAAUUACAUAAAUAUUAAAGUUUGAUGGCUAAUUAGGGACUUGUUUAAAUAAAUCCAAAACUAAUGACCAAAAGUUCUAUAACUCUAGAUAUAGUUAACAAUCUGAUGAGUGUUCAGACAGUAACAGUUCAAUGUCGAGACAGUAACAGUUGGACAAUAACAGUUAGACAGUAACAGUUCAAUGUUUAGACAGUAACAGUUGGACAGUAACAGUUCAAUAUCUAGACAGUAACGGUUGGACAGUAACAGUUCAAUGUCUAGACAGUAACAGUUCAAAUUAGACAGUAACAAUUAGACUUUCACGUGAAUACUAUAUGUAAGAAUAUAAAAGAACUGAGUCAUGCGAACACUUGCACGUUGAGACACUUAUGCAAUUUAAAGUUCUUCUGGUGAAUGCAAUUACAAUAAAUACCAUGUUCAAUGUAAAUAAAGUCCAGCGUAUUUACAAGAUUAGCUACAGCUAAUGGCAUCCGUGAUAGGAUUGCCGGGAAAUGAAUUACAAGAGUAGCUUGGGCUAAUAAUGUCCAUGUUGGGACGCCCGAGAACGAUUGAUAAGACUUGAUUUGUAAAGGGUAUCAAUGUUUGAAUGACUUGGGAAAUUGAUAAAUAUAAGUUGACUGUUAUAAUUCUUAUGGAUCCGAUAGAAAAUUUAUACUUCAUUCGUAUACCUUACAUGUGCACAUAUAUAUUUCUUUUGCAAACAUAAUGGUAUGUUUAUUUAUGUAACAAGGCCAUCAAAUAUCCAAGGAGAUCAUUAGUUUAGGGCUCUAUUUUGUCAAUCUUAUGUAAAUAUUUAACUUAAGCAUAAUGGAAUUAACGUGUUUAUGCAGUAUGCUUUUGUGUAAACCUUGAUGUAUUUAUAAAAGUCCAGCUUAACAUGUAGUACAUUAGUUAUCUUGUAAUUAACCCUCUUGAAAUGUUUAAGAAUACUUAAUAAAUUGUAAAUGCUCUCUUUGCAUGUUAUUCCCUUUUCUUUUAAAUUUUAUGACAUGAUAUAUAGGCUAUGUUCAUAUUGAACUUACUAGUAGGAUAUAUAUAUAUAUAUAUAUAUAUAUAUAUAUAUAUAUAUAUAUAUAUAUAUAUAUAUAUAUAUAUAUAUAUAUAUUGUGUGGAUUGUAUGAGUUGUUGAAUAUUGAUAAUUGAAAUAAGGUCUGGAAUUAUGGGACCUUGUGAUGAUGGGUUGAUUGAGUAAAUUGGUAGUAGUCGAUAAUUUGGAAUGUCCUAAAUACAAACGAAACUUUGCCGAAUUUUUGGUAGAUUUAAAAAAAAAAAAUUACCCUCAAAUUAAGAACAUAUGUUGGGAUCUUUUAACGUUGAUCAAGUCGUACAGUCGGGUCUGUUACAUAUACCGUAAAGAUACAAAUCCAGUAUUAAAAUACGUGGUUUUCACCAAAAUAUUGCAAAAGUUAAAUAAAAGAAAUAUAUUAUUUUCAUGCAUAUGGCCAACUCUUUAAAAAAAAAUUAUCAUAUCGUAUUUUCAUACCAUAAAAAAAAUCUCAAAAAUAUUUGUUAGCAUGCAUUUUGGCUUUAAUAACUAGUUUGUUAAAGUCAUGAGAACUAUGCUAACAUUUUAAAAAUUUCAAAAAAAUUAUCUUGUUUUAUUUUAAUAUCCGGGAUUAUGAACUUAAUCGUAAGUCGUACUCCUAAUAUUAAAAUUAGUUUCUUUGGUUGAUAUAGAACGGUUAGGUUUUACCCAAUUAGAUAAUAAUCUCUUUAUCGAGGAAAAUUUUUCUUAAACCAUAGACAGACCAACAACUAGAAAACACAAUGAUACCUUAGCCUAUAUCAGACAAUAAAACAAUGCAGCUUACCUUAGGUAGGGCGUAUUUUGGGUGCUAAUACUUUUUUUUUACGCAAUCAGUCUCCGUACCCGAUCUUUGAGACCAAUUAGGGUUUCAGUUACCAAAAUACUAGGUGGUGACUCUCAUUUUUCCAUUCCACUGAUAAAAGACAAGAUUUUCUUGCCUCCCUAUAUUUGCCAGAUAGACAUACAUGAGAGUGGAUGUUAUUCACCGUGACACCGCACACGUGUCACAAUUACAAUUCCAUUAUAAUUUGUUCCUUAAAAGUAUUCAAAAUAUAGUAUUAGAAUUACGUAAUGCUAGGUUUUAAUAUAUAAUUUUUUAUAUUGUUAAAGAGUCUCUCCUGGACCAAAUAAUAAAAAUAUUGUAUAACUCUUAUGUAUGAAUCGUAAAUCCAGGGAUUGUUUUGGAUCCUGAAUUGGCUGAUUUGAUUUGAAUAUAUUAUAUGAUUAGUCCAUUUAUAGGUUAACUCUACUAUUGCUGCCUUGCAUUGACUUUACUCUGCAGCUAACUUCUCUGUCCCAUUGCUGCCAUUUCAUAGCUAACUCUUUGUUAUAUUUAACUUUCUCUUCUUUGCUUCUUUCUCGUUUUAAUUUCAUUUCUUGCUCAUAACGAUAACUUGAAAGCCUCACGUUCAGAUAGAUAAUCAUUGACCAGUUCAUCCUAUAUCAUUCUAUUUAAUUUAGAAAUGCAGAAAGAAAAACGCAAGCAAUCCAAAGAUGAAGAAAACGAUUCAUCCUCGCGAAAGAGAAGAAAAGCUGACCUCAGUAAGCCUGUCAGUUUUGUCUCCACAGGUAAGGCAGAUGCGUGAGUCUAUACAUGUAGGAACUGCUGAUUCGAUUUGAAUAUGUUAUUUGAUUAGUCUGAUCAUAGGACAGGUUGAGUCUACUACUAUUUCUGCCUUGCUUUGACUCGAAAUUCCUGGUGUUUUCUCCUGCAAAUGAAUAGAAAUCACAUCCUUUCUCUUUCUCCUAUACAAAGAAUACAAUUAACCUCAUUUCAAUAUCAUAGCUUUGGAAUUUCAUAGCUAACUCUUUGUUAUGUUGUUCCAUUGGUAAUUGAUUGUGCCUUAAUUUCUGCAGCUACCAUGACAGAGCCAGAGUCUUCUCGAUCUAGACCAGAAGGGGCCUAUGAUGUCUUCUUGAGUUUUAGAGGAGAAGACACUCGCAAGACAUUUACAGAUCAUCUAUAUAGUGCCUUAGUCCAAGCAGGAAUCCACGCUUUUCGAGAUGAUGAUGACCUUCCAAGAGGAGAAGAAAUCUCCGAUCAUCUCCUCAGGGCAAUUCAAGAAUCAAAGAUAUCCAUAGUUGUCUUCUCAAAAGGAUAUGCUUCUUCUAGAUGGUGUCUCAAUGAACUUGUAGAGAUUCUUGAGUGCAAAAAUAGAAAAACCGGUCAGAUUGUUCUUCCUAUAUUCUAUCACAUUGAUCCUUCAGAUGUGAGAAAACAGAAUGGCAGUUUUGCAGAAGCAUUUGCUAACAAUGAAGAGCGUUUUGAAGAGAAGUUGGUGAAGGAGUGGAGAAAAGCUCUUGAGGAGGCUGGAAAUCUAUCUGGAUGGAAUCUCAAUCAUAUGGCAAAUGGGUAUGCCUUUUUUUCUCUAAGAUUCUCUUGCACACAUUUAUGGAGUCAUUAUACUUUACAUUUUUCAAUGUGAAACAAUAAAAUACUUAAUUGACUCGCUAUUAAUGACUUGCUUUUGUCUAUGAGCAGGCAUGAAGCAAAAUUUAUCAAAGAGAUUAUCAAGGAUGUGUUGAAUAAAUUAGAUCCCAAGUACUUCUAUGUUCCUGAGCACCUAGUAGGUAUGGAUCGGCUUGCUCACAAUAUUUUUGACUUUCUAAGUACUGCAACAGAUCAUGUACGCAUUGUGGGCAUACACGGGAUGCCAGGAAUAGGAAAGACGACUAUAGCAAAAGUUGUAUUUAAUCAACUCUGCUAUGGAUUCGAGGGAAGCUGUUUUCUUUCGAAUAUCAAUGAAACAUCAAAACAAUUUAAUGGUCUGGCUCUUUUACAAAGGCAACUUCUUCAUGAUAUUUUAAAACAGGAUGCUGCAAACAUCAAUUGUGAUGAUAGAGGAAAGGUUCUGAUCAAAGAACGACUUCGUCGCAAAAGAGUUGUUGUGGUUGCUGAUGAUGUUGCUCAUCAGGACCAGCUAAAAGCUUUGAUGGGAGAGCGAAGCUGGUUUGGUCCCGGAAGUAUAGUAAUUAUUACAACAAGAGAUUCAAAUCUUCUUCGUGAAGCAGAUCAAACAUAUCCGAUCAAAGAAUUGACACGAGAUCAGUCCCUUCGGCUUUUCAGCUGGCAUGCCUUUAAGGACACCAAGCCAGCAGAAGCUUAUAUUGAGCUUUCGAAGGAUGCAGUUGAUUACUGUGGAGGACUUCCUUUAGCUCUUGAGGUUAUAGGAGCUUGUCUGUACGGGAAAAGCAAAGAUAGAUGGAAAAGUGAAAUUGACAACUUGAGCAGAAUUCCAGAAAACAAUAUUCAAGGAAAGCUUCUAAUAAGUUUUGACGCACUGGAUGGUGAGCUACAAAAUGCAUUCCUUGAUAUUGCAUGCUUCUUUACUGAUGUAGAGAAAGAAUACGUCGCAAAAGUGCUAGGAGCCCGUAGCUGUUACAAUCCAGAAGUUGUUUUGGAAACUCUCUGUGAAAGGUCUCUUAUUAAAGUAUUUGGAGAGAUGGUAACCAUGCAUGAUCUAUUACGAGAGAUGGGAAGGGAGGUCGUUCGUAAAGCGUCUCCCAAACAACCUGGAGAGAGGACCAGAAUUUGGAAUCAAGAGGAUGCGUGGAAUGUACUUGACCAGCAGAAGGUAAGAGCUCAAUGCAUACACGUAGCCAUGCGUAUUUUCUAGUCAAACUUAUUACAAAUAAUCAUAUGAAAGUUUUAUUGUUUUUUUUUUAGGGUACGGAUGCUAUAGAGGGUCUUGCACUGGAUAUGAGAGCAUCAGAAGCUAAAUCACUAAGCACAGGAUCAUUUGCAAAAAUGAAACGCUUAACUUUACUCCAAAUCAAUGGAGCACAUCUCACUGGAUCCUUCAAACUGCUUUCUAAAGAGUUGAUGUGGAUUUGUUGGCAUGAAUGUCCUUUAAAAUAUUUGCCAUCUGAUUUUACCUUAGAAAAUCUAGUUGUUCUUGAUAUACAGUACAGUAACCUCAAAGAACUAUGGAAGGGAGAAAAGGUAUGAAACAUUUUACAAUCCCCAACAUUUGUCCAGUACAUAAUUUAUAUUUACAUGUUAUGACUUUUUAUGAUUAAUUUCCAUUAUUUUGCUCUCUAUUACGACAGAUUCUCAACAAGCUAAAAAUCCUUGAUCUUAGUCAUUCUCAUAACCUUAUUAAAACACCAAACUUGCACAGUUCAAGUCUGGAGAAACUAAAGCUGGAAGGUUGCUCUAGUUUAGUUGAGGUGCAUCAAUCUGUUGGAAAUUUGAAGAGCCUCAUUUUCUUGAAUAUGGAGGGAUGUUGGAGCCUUAAGAUUCUUCCCGAAAGCAUUGGCAAUGUAAAGUCUCUUAAACGUUUGAAUAUUUCUGGGUGUUCACAACUUGAGAAAUUGCCAGAACACAUGGGUGAUAUGGAAUCCUUAACUGAGCUGCUAGCUGAUGGGAUUGAAAAUGAGCAAUUUCUCUCUUCAAUUGGAC